UAGCUCUAUCCAUCUGCUUCCUUAAAAUUUUCUAUUGUAACAAAGCUCGGGGCAAGUACUGAUGUAGCUGGAGCUGGACAUCAUUUAGGAUUUGAAAUGCCAGAGAGAGCCUACAGAGAAAGUUCAUACUUGCUGGAGUAUUUUGGUGGGGCCUCUCUAAUACUUAAAUUAGCUGGAGCUUGGAAACAAUAAAGAAAAGAGAAAAAAGAUGUGGAAGAGUGGAGUUUUCUUCUUUUUAUUCUCCUCUCGAUUGAG
Molecule: long non-coding RNA, 255 nt
Filed under: Elaeis guineensis (African oil palm)
Lineage: Eukaryota; Viridiplantae; Streptophyta; Magnoliopsida; Arecales; Arecaceae
Description: long non-coding RNA (EGUI_LNC000602)
Source: RNAcentral